This 195-nucleotide small nuclear RNA is filed under the name Oncorhynchus mykiss (rainbow trout). RNAcentral's name for it is "U2 spliceosomal RNA (ENSOMYG00000077341.1)". It matches the Rfam family "U2 spliceosomal RNA". From Rfam's summary of the family: U2 is a small nuclear RNA (snRNA) component of the spliceosome (involved in pre-mRNA splicing). Complementary binding between U2 snRNA (in an area lying towards the 5' end but 3' to hairpin I) and the branchpoint sequence (BPS) of the intron results the bulging out of an unpaired adenosine, on the BPS, which initiates a nucleophilic attack at the intronic 5' splice site, thus starting the first of two transesterification reactions that mediate splicing. Lineage: Eukaryota; Metazoa; Chordata; Actinopteri; Salmoniformes; Salmonidae. The record is from RNAcentral.
AUUAUUUUUUCUAAAAAAUAAAAAAAAAUUUUUAAAAAAAAAUCUGUUCUUAUCAGUUUAAUAUCUGAUACGUCCCCCAUCGGGGGACUACAUAUUAAAUUGAUUUUUCGAACAGGGAGUCGGAAAUGGGGCUUGCUCCGUCCGCUCCACGCAUCGACCCGGUAUUGCAGUACCUCCGGGAACGGUGCAACACUU